GACGAACGCUGGCGGCGUGCUUAACACAUGCAAGUCGAACGGAAAGGCCCUGCUUUUGUGGGGUGCUCGAGUGGCGAACGGGUGAGUAACACGUGAGUAACCUGCCCUUGACUUUGGGAUAACUUCAGGAAACUGGGGCUAAUACCGGAUAGGAGCUCCUGCUGCAUGGUGGGGGUUGGAAAGUUUCGGCGGUUGGGGAUGGACUCGCGGCUUAUCAGCUUGUUGGUGGGGUAGUGGCUUACCAAGGCUUUGACGGGUAGCCGGCCUGAGAGGGUGACCGGCCACAUUGGGACUGAGAGACAGCCCAGACUCCUACGGGAGGCAGCAGUGGGGAAUAUUGCACAAUGGGCGGAAGCCUGAUGCAGCAACGCCGCGUGCGGGAUGACGGCCUUCGGGUUGUAAACCGCUUUCGCCUGUGACGAAGCGUGAGUGACGGUAAUGGGUAAAGAAGCACCGGCUAACUACGUG
This 468-nucleotide ribosomal RNA is filed under the name uncultured bacterium. Its description in RNAcentral is "partial 16S ribosomal RNA". It matches the Rfam family "Bacterial small subunit ribosomal RNA", at positions 28 to 507 of the family's 1533-position model. The record is from RNAcentral.